This 291-nucleotide long non-coding RNA is filed under the name Mytilus galloprovincialis (Mediterranean mussel). The record is from RNAcentral. Lineage: Eukaryota; Metazoa; Mollusca; Bivalvia; Mytilida; Mytilidae.
AAUACAGUUCUAUGAAGAAUACAUAUGUCAUUCAUAAUGACGUGUUAAAAAAAAUCUUAACUGACAAGCGACUAGACUACAACGUCUCUGUCUUUUGUACAACUUAUUCAGCAUUUUAUUUUACUUAAAUAAUCUAGGACUACAAUUCCUAAAAUGAAAAGCGAAAGAUAUCAACGAGAUAUUCAAAUGCACUAGUCGAAAUCACACUGAGCACCAGGACUGAUAAUUAUAAUGCAUACAGAACAACAAACAUUAAAGCAAGAGCAACACGAACUAUUUUAAACAAACCGG